This 776-nucleotide long non-coding RNA is filed under the name Mus musculus (house mouse). RNAcentral's name for it is "predicted gene 20544". The record is from RNAcentral. Lineage: Eukaryota; Metazoa; Chordata; Mammalia; Rodentia; Muridae.
CCCAGUUACUGCCACCCUCUCCCAGGUCUAGAGAGGGGUACCCACGGUGGAGGGAGGUGGGAGGCCGAGACGGCCCCGGGGGUCGGCGGAGACCCAGCGGGAGCAGGGGGAAAUCGGAAGAGCUGGGGGCAUGGAGCGGGCGAGUUUGGAGCGGAAUGAGCCGGGAGCCCUACGUUGUGGAAGGAAGACAACAGUAUAGGACCAUCAGCAGGACCGGACAGAGAGGGGCACGGUUUCUCUGUAUAGCCCUGGCUGUCCUGGAACUUGUAGACCAGGCUGGCCUUGAACUCAGAAAUCCGCCUGCCUCUGACUCCCGAGUGCUGAGAUUAAAGGUGUGCACCACCACACCCGACAAGGAAGCCUGUUUUAAGAAGUGAUUCCAUGGAGGAGUUCUGCGGCGGCUCAGGGCUUGACUAAACAGUGGACCUCAGACAAGAGAGGCUAAACCAGGCUGCAGGUGACAGGAAGAAUUGAAUAAACUGAAAGCAAAGGGCAGCCUUCUAAUUACGCUUCGUGGCUAUGUGGACAACCUGGAGAAGUCUGGAAACAAAGAAGCCAGAAGCCCGAAGCCAGCAGUAGAGCUCUGACUGGCUUGUAUGCCUAGAAAGGAAGGGCUCUUCUUUCGCCUCACGGGCACAAAUGGGACCCACGAGCGCCGAUUUCAGACUAUUCUGAUCCCUUCAAAAAGAAAGUUAGGAGUCCAGGCUACUGUGAGUGAAUUUGAUUCUAAUUGUUUCAGAGAAUAUGGAAUAAAAUAUCUCAUUUGCAGUUGUUUA